RNAcentral lists this non-coding RNA (443 nucleotides) under Xenopus tropicalis (tropical clawed frog). RNAcentral's name for it is "Xenopus (Silurana) tropicalis (western clawed frog) Eukaryotic small subunit ribosomal RNA". It matches the Rfam family "Eukaryotic small subunit ribosomal RNA", at positions 638 to 1831 of the family's 1831-position model. Lineage: Eukaryota; Metazoa; Chordata; Amphibia; Anura; Pipidae. The record is from Rfam by way of RNAcentral.
ACUCUGGGACCUUCUCUGCCCUCUUUCUAGGGGAGCUGUUGUAAGUGCCCCAUCUUGAACAAGAGGUGUUCGAAGAUGGUCAGAUACCGUUGUAGUUCUGACAAUAAAUGAUGCCCACUGCCAAACUGGCAGCAUUGCCGAGUUGCUUCGUGAAACCCAUGCCUUUGGGUUCCGGAGAGAGUAUGGUUGCAAAGCUGUGAUGGAUGGAAGGGCACAAUCAGGAGUGGAGUCUUUAAUUUGACAGAACACGGGAAACCUCACCCUAAUGUUGAAGAUCUCCUUGCCCUUUGUAUACACCGCCUGUUGUUUCCACCAAUUGUAGGGUUUGUGAAGUCCUUUGGAAGGCCCAGCUGAGGUUGGUUAUGGCCCUGGCUGAGUGCUUACGAGACCCACAAAUGUGGCUACCUAGGGGAAGUAAAUGUUAAGCCUCUAUAUGAGCGUAC